This 90-nucleotide transfer RNA is filed under the name Thermoproteus sp. CP80. RNAcentral describes it as "tRNA-Ala". It matches the Rfam family "tRNA". Rfam says of the family: Transfer RNA (tRNA) molecules are approximately 80 nucleotides in length. Their secondary structure includes four short double-helical elements and three loops (D, anti-codon, and T loops). Further hydrogen bonds mediate the characteristic L-shaped molecular structure. tRNAs have two regions of fundamental functional importance: the anti-codon, which is responsible for specific mRNA codon recognition, and the 3' end, to which the tRNAs corresponding amino acid is attached (by aminoacyl-tRNA synthetases). tRNAs cope with the degeneracy of the genetic code in two manners: having more than one tRNA (with a specific anti-codon) for a particular amino acid; and 'wobble' base-pairing, i.e. permitting non-standard base-pairing at the 3rd anti-codon position. RNAcentral also lists the same sequence under 1 other name. Lineage: Archaea; Thermoproteati; Thermoproteota; Thermoprotei; Thermoproteales; Thermoproteaceae. The record is from RNAcentral.
GGGCCGGUAGUCUAGCGGAAGGACGCCCGCCUCGCGCGCGGGAGAUCCCGGGUUCGGGGGAGAACCCGCCCAAAAAUCCCGGCCGGUCCA